GAAUUCAGUGAAUCAUCGAAUCUUUGAACGCACCUUGCGCUCCUUGGUAUUCCGAGGAGCAUGCCUGUUUGAGUGUCAUUUAAUUCUCAACCCCUCCAACUUUUGUAGUUGGCUAGGUGGCUUGGAUGUGGGGGAUUAAUCUUGCGGGCCUCUUUAGAGGUCGGCUCCCCUGAAAUGCAUUAGUGGAACUGUUUGCGGAACUGUCACUGGUGUGAUAAUUAUCUAUACCAAGACAACCGCUCUCUGAUAAUUCUGCUUCUAAUUGUCCUUUACUUGGACAACAAUAUCUGAAUGCUUGACCUCAAAUCAGGUAGGACUACCCGCUGAACUUAAGCAUAUCAAUAAGCGGAGGAAAAGAAACUAACAAGGAUUCCCCUAGUAACUGCGAGUGAAGCGGGAAAAGCUCAAAUUUGAAAUCUGGCAGUCUUUGGCUGUCCGAGUUGUAAUCUAGAGAAGCGUCUUCCGCGC
Molecule: ribosomal RNA, 468 nt
Filed under: uncultured fungus
Lineage: Eukaryota; Fungi
Description: eukaryotic LSU rRNA
Rfam family: Eukaryotic large subunit ribosomal RNA (bases 297-468)
Source: RNAcentral